This 352-nucleotide long non-coding RNA is filed under the name Androctonus crassicauda. Lineage: Eukaryota; Metazoa; Arthropoda; Arachnida; Scorpiones; Buthidae. The record is from RNAcentral.
UUUUAAUUGUAGAAUUACAAGUUCUUAUUGGCACUGGAUGGGCAGACCAAUACACUUGUCUUCUUGGAAUGAACUUUUUAUUAUAACGAGGAGCGCUUUUAAGAAAUGAGAAAGCUCAAAGGAGCAAACAUGAACAGAUGGGAGUUUAUUCCAGAAUACUUAAGUGAAUAUAAGACAGUUAGAAACAUAGCCAAUAAGAAGGAAAUGAAAUGUGCAUAUAGGAGACCACCCACCAUCUUCAAUGCACUAAAAAAUGAGAAAGAUCAAAGGAGAAAACAUGAACAGACGGGUUUACCAGAUACCAUUAUACAACUAUGAUGAAGGAACAGAAGAGCUUUAUGUGAUUACCACC